UACGGGGGGGGCAAGCGUUGUUCGGAAUUACUGGGCGUAAAGGGCUCGUAGGCGGCCAACUAAGUCAGACGUGAAAUCCCUCGGCUUAACCGGGGAACUGCGUCUGAUACUGGAUGGCUUGAGUUUGGGAGAGGGAUGCGGAAUUCCAGGUGUAGCGGUGAAAUGCGUAGAUAUCUGGAGGAACACCGGUGGCGAAGGCGGCUCACUGGCCCGAUACUGACGCUGAGGCACGAAAGCGUGGGGAGCAAACAGG
Molecule: ribosomal RNA, 253 nt
Filed under: uncultured bacterium
Lineage: Bacteria
Description: partial 16S ribosomal RNA
Rfam family: Bacterial small subunit ribosomal RNA
Source: RNAcentral